GAGCUAAUACCGGAUAAUAUUUUGAACCGCAUGGUUCAAAAGUGAAAGACGGUCUUGCUGUCACUUAUAGAUGGAUCCGCGCUGCAUUAGCUAGUUGGUAAGGUAACGGCUUACCAAGGCAACGAUGCAUAGCCGACCUGAGAGGGUGAUCGGCCACACUGGAACUGAGACACGGUCCAGACUCCUACGGGAGGCAGCAGUAGGGAAUCUUCCGCAAUGGGCGAAAGCCUGACGGAGCAACGCCGCGUGAGUGAUGAAGGUCUUCGGAUCGUAAAACUCUGUUAUUAGGGAAGAACAUAUGUGUAAGUAACUGUGCACAUCUUGACGGUACCUAAUCAGAAAGCCACGGCUAACUACGUGCCAGCAGCCGCGGUAAUACGUAGGUGGCAAGCGUUAUCCGGAAUUAUUGGGCGUAAAGCGCGCGUAGGCGGUUUUUUAAGUCUGAUGUGAAAGCCCACGGCUCAACCGUGGAGGGUCAUUGGAAACUGGAAAACUUGAGUGCAGAAGAGGAAAGUGGAAUUCCAUGUGUAGCGGUGAAAUGCGCAGAGAUAUGGAGGAACACCAGUGGCGAAGGCGACUUUCUGGUCUGUAACUGACGCUGAUGUGCGAAAGCGUGGGGAUCAAACAGGAUUAGAUACCCUGGUAGUCCACGCCGUAAACGAUGAGUGCUAAGUGUUAGGGGGUUUCCGCCCCUUAGUGCUGCAGCUAACGCAUUAAGCACUCCGCCUGGGGAGUACGACCGCAAGGUUGAAACUCAAAGGAAUUGACG
Molecule: ribosomal RNA, 769 nt
Filed under: Staphylococcus aureus
Lineage: Bacteria; Bacillati; Bacillota; Bacilli; Caryophanales; Staphylococcaceae
Description: bacterial SSU rRNA
Rfam family: Bacterial small subunit ribosomal RNA
Source: RNAcentral